Long non-coding RNA from Bacillus rossius redtenbacheri, 831 nucleotides. RefSeq lists it as uncharacterized. The record is from RefSeq and is a predicted model, not a curated record. NCBI's taxonomy places the organism in Eukaryota, Metazoa, Arthropoda, Insecta, Phasmatodea, Bacillidae. The transcript has 3 exons.
ACUUGACCUGCCAUUGGACGCAUCCUCAAACUUAAACGACAGUGACUGUGAGACGGACGCUGAGGACGCCCGGACCUGAUGGACGGGGGAGGGCCAGUCAGAGUCGGGAGCGCACCUGCUUGUUGAGCUGCGGGCUCUGCACGGCCGCGAAGAGCGUCAGCAGCCCCGCGCGGUAGCCGGGCCCCGCCCAGCGCGCCAGCCAGGCGGGCAGCAGCGCCUCCAGCUGCUCCAGGGCGCGGCCGGCGCGCGCCUCCAGGUCGGCCGGGGAGGGGGGCGCGCCCCGCGCCUGGAACACCGCCCCUGCGCGCCCGGCGCCGCCUCAGCCUCACUCGCAGUGCGUGGAGUCCACGCACUACACAAGUGGAACUCCUUGCUUGUUGGUUAUCGCGCUCCGACCGACUCCGGAGACACCGGGACGGCGACGCACCUCGCAGCAGGUGCACGAGGCGGGCCAAGCGCGGCGCCGCCAGCAGCCGGCGCAGCUUGCGGUCCAGGCAGAGGUCGGCGACGGCGUCGACUGUGCUGCGCAGGAGCGCGCGCACGGCCAGCGCCAGGCGCACGGCCGGCUGCGGGGCGGCGAACACCCGCACGGCUGUGGGCACCACCGCAACACGGCACAUCGUCCCCCCUUCCCCCUUCACCACGUCGCUCCCACCACCAUCAAGCUGGGUUGGAAUCAGGGGCGCAACAACAGGGGGUGAAGGGGGGGGGACAAGGGUAUUUCCCCCCCCCCCCCCUUCCGUCUGAAACCUUGAAGUGGGGUCAAACGGGGGCAAAGAAAGUGCUGUGUAAUCACUUUUUAGAUAAUAAAACUGCUCAAAUAGCACCAUU